GGGGGCGAACUGGAUUCGACGGAGGUAGUGAGACAAAGGUAGCAUGUCGAGGCUCCACCCACCUCGUUAAAAAGGUGGAACAAACUAAGUGCAAAUCCAAUGCCACUUGCUGCCUAAUAGUUAGGCAUGCCGUUUCUCCUGCGCGUUCCUGCAGCGCUUGAGAAGCGACGACCAGCAGGAUAGCUAACCGGGUUGGCUCCGAGCCUGGGGCGCGAAAUAAUAUCGAAGCUGGUUCUAGGGUAGCCUUCCCCUUCGGUUAGCCUUAGAACGAGAAGAAGGAAGGGGAUAAACAUGUAGAAGCCUUUCGUCAAAUGCUUUCGGACGCGGGUUCGAUUCCCGCCGCCUCCACCA
RNAcentral lists this transfer-messenger RNA (351 nucleotides) under Candidatus Aminicenantota bacterium. RNAcentral's name for it is "Candidatus Aminicenantes bacterium transfer-messenger RNA". It matches the Rfam family "transfer-messenger RNA". Rfam says of the family: Bacterial tmRNA, also known as 10Sa RNA or SsrA, is named for its dual tRNA and mRNA-like properties. Its role is to liberate the mRNA from a stalled ribosome. RNAcentral also lists the same sequence under 1 other name. Lineage: Bacteria; Candidatus Aminicenantota. The record is from RNAcentral.